This 442-nucleotide ribosomal RNA is filed under the name uncultured Candidatus Saccharibacteria bacterium. RNAcentral describes it as "bacterial SSU rRNA". It matches the Rfam family "Bacterial small subunit ribosomal RNA", at positions 338 to 795 of the family's 1533-position model. The record is from RNAcentral. Lineage: Bacteria; Candidatus Saccharimonadota.
CCUACGGGGGGCAGCAGUGAGGAAUCUUCCACAAUGGGCGAAAGCCUGAUGGAGCAACGCCGCGUGAAGGAUGAAGGCCUUCGGGUUGUAAACUUCUUUUAUGAGUGAAGAAUAUGACGGUAACUCAUGAAUAAGCACCGGCUAACUACGUGCCAGCAGCCGCGGUCAUACGUAGGGUGCAAGCAUUAUCCGGAGUGACUGGGCGUAAAGAGUUGCGUAGGCGGUUUAAUAAGUGAAUAGUGAAACCUGGUGGCUCAACCAUACAGACUAUUAUUCAAACUGUUAAACUCGAGAGUGGUAGAGGUAACUGGAAUUUCUAGUGUAGGAGUGAAAUCCGUAGAUAUUAGAAGGAACACCAAUGGCGUAGGCAGGUUACUGGACCAUUUCUGACGCUAAGGCACGAAAGCGUGGGGAGCGAACUGGAUUAGAUACCCGAGUAGUC